RNAcentral lists this ribosomal RNA (253 nucleotides) under uncultured bacterium. RNAcentral's name for it is "partial 16S ribosomal RNA". It matches the Rfam family "Bacterial small subunit ribosomal RNA", at positions 524 to 776 of the family's 1533-position model. The record is from RNAcentral.
UACGUAGGGUGCAAGCGUUAAUCGGAAUUACUGGGCGUAAAGCGUGCGCUGGCGGUUUUGUAAGUCUGUCGUGAAAUCCCCGGGCUCAACCUGGGAAUUGCGAUGGAGACUGCAAGGCUAGAAUCUGGCAGAGGGGGGUAGAAUUCCACGUGUGGCAGUGAAAUGCGUAGAGAUGUGGAGGAACACCGAUGGCGAAGGCAGCCCCCUGGGUCAAGAUUGACGCUCAUGCACGAAAGCGUGGGGAGCAAACAGG